This 68-nucleotide microRNA precursor is filed under the name Pongo abelii (Sumatran orangutan). RNAcentral describes it as "miRNA". The record is from RNAcentral. Lineage: Eukaryota; Metazoa; Chordata; Mammalia; Primates; Hominidae.
GUGAGUGGGGCUCCCAGGACGGCGCCCGCCCUGGCCCUGGCCCUGGCCCAGCCACGUCUCACGUUCCC